RNAcentral lists this ribosomal RNA (298 nucleotides) under uncultured bacterium. RNAcentral's name for it is "partial 16S ribosomal RNA". It matches the Rfam family "Bacterial small subunit ribosomal RNA", at positions 335 to 625 of the family's 1533-position model. The record is from RNAcentral.
UGGCCUACGGGGGGCAGCAGUGGGGAAUUUUGGACAAUGGGCGCAAGCCUGAUCCAGCUAUUCCGCGUGUGGGAUGACGGCCCUCGGGUUGUAAACCACUUUAGUAGAGAACGAAAAGGAGCUAUCGAAUAAAUAGCUCUGCUGACGGUACUCUAAGAAUAAGCACCGGCUAACUACGUGCCAGCAGCCGCGGUAAUACGUAGGUGGCGAGCGUUAUCCGGAAUGAUUGGGCGUAAAGGGUGCGCAGGCGGUCCUGCAAGUCUGGAGUGAAACGCAUGAGCUCAACUCAUGCAUGGCU